ACUUGAACCCCAAGCAGCUUUGUCAAGUCCCAUGUCAUGUCUCACAACAGGUCACUGUGUUACCAAACCUGAGCUGAUAUUGAAGUUGGAGCAAGGAGAGGAACUGUGGACAUUAGAAGGAAAACUCCCAAGUUCGAGCCACCCAAAAGUCCAGGGAACCAGUAACAUGAAAUAGAUAAGCCAAGAACAUGAGGACCAGUAUUUGAGGCAAACUUUAUUCAUCAACAACAAAACAUUGACUAAGGAGAGAAGUAAGACCUUCAGAGAAACGUUUAUUUUGGUCACAAACUCAGGGCCCUCAAGAAAAAUAUCCCACAAAGGUGACUCAUCUGUAACAAACUUGAAAAAUGUUUCUGAAUUGACUAUUAAUAAUAGGAGCCAUGUGAGAAAGAACACUGAUGAUUUCAGUGGAUGUGGAUUCCUUGAUAUUAUACAUGAGAAAGUUCAUACGAGGAACAAGUCCUGUGAAAGUGAUCAAAAGAAGAAAUCCCACAGACAAUUGAGGAGUUUAUUCAACAUCAGAAUUCAGCUUUGGAGCAACUUCUUGAAUGUAAUAAUGGUAGGAAAGCCUUUCACAGAAAGACAGCCUUUGUUAUAUGUAAGAGAGCUCACACAGGAGAGGAACCCUCUCAAAGUAACAAAUGUAGACGAGCCUUCCUCUAAAAGUUAAAGCUCAGUGCUUGUCCAAGAGCCCUUAGGGGAAAGGAAGCCACACAAAUCCAGUAAAAAUGGGAAAUCCUCAUGCAUGAAUUCAAAACAUGUACAUCAGAGAGCUCACCGUGAAUGCUGUAAAUUGGGGAAAUCCUUUAGCAAGAAGUCAAACUGUAGUCAGCAUCAGAGACUGCACACAGGAGGGAAACCAGAGGAGUAUAACCAAAGUGAGGGAGCCUUGCAGAAGUCACCCUGCAUGCAAAGUGGGCAGACCCGCACAGGAGAGAAAAUUCAUGACUGCAACAAAUGUGGGAAAUCCUUCCCUGAAAACUCAUGCCUGACCCAACAUCAGGGAAUUCACACAGUGGAAGACCCCAGAGAGUGCAAUGAUAGUGAGGGGGCCGUAAAGAAGGAGUCCCACCCGACUCUAAAUCAGAGCAUUAACAUGAGCGAGAAAAGCUUUAAAGGUAGUAAGUGUGAGAAAUCCUCCCACGAGAAGUUGAAACUCACUCAGCAUCAGAGAACGCAGUCGGGGGAACAAGAUGAUGAGUCUUGUGAGAGUGGGAGGGUCUUCACUGAGAAGUCACACCUCCCUCGGUAUCAGAGAGUUCACAGUGGGAAGAAAACCUACAACUGUAAUAAAUGCGCGGAACGCUUCCAUGAGAAACGACCUCGCUCGACAUCAGAGCGCGCACACAG
Molecule: non-coding RNA, 1350 nt
Organism: Vicugna pacos (alpaca)
Lineage: Eukaryota; Metazoa; Chordata; Mammalia; Artiodactyla; Camelidae
Source: RefSeq, a predicted model, not a curated record